Molecule: ribosomal RNA, 441 nt
Filed under: uncultured soil bacterium
Lineage: Bacteria
Description: bacterial SSU rRNA
Rfam family: Bacterial small subunit ribosomal RNA
Source: RNAcentral
AGAGCGAACGCUGGCGGCAGGCCUAACACAUGCAAGUCGAACGGACCCUUCGGGGUUAGUGGCGGACGGGUGAGUAACACGUGGGAACGUGCCUUUUGGUUCGGAAUAGCUCCUGGAAACGGGUGGUAAUGCCGAAUGUGCCCUUCGGGGGAAAGAUUUAUCGCCAUUAGAGCGGCCCGCGUCUGAUUAGCUAGUUGGUGAGGUAAUGGCUCACCAAGGCGACGAUCAGUAGCUGGUCUGAGAGGAUGACCAGCCACAUUGGGACUGAGACACGGCCCAAACUCCUACGGGAGGCAGCAGUGGGGAAUCUUGCGCAAUGGGCGAAAGCCUGACGCAGCCAUGCCGCGUGAAUGAUGAAGGUCUUAGGAUUGUAAAAUUCUUUCACCGGGGACGACAAUGACGUACCGGAGAAGAAGCCCGCUAACUCGUGCCAGCAGCCGC